CCGGCGGCUUCAGGGUGAGACUACCGCCGUCCUUGCCCCGCGUGCACACGGACGCGCUGCUUCCGCAGCCUGAACGGGGGAGUCGGUAAAACUGGGCUGUGUUGGGGAAGUGGGGAGGGUGCCCCGGACUGACUGGAGAAUUGCAAAAAGCUGCCUAUGUUCUUACCAAACACGGAGCAGUAGCCGAACUAGAGAUGUUCCUGUUUUGGCUCCUUUCUGGACUCCUCCAUUCAUGAAGACAUAAUUAUCCUCAGAGUCCCUCAAACCUUCUUCGAAAGUUAGCAUCUGAACACAGAUAAGAUGAGGAUCUUUAAGUCUCUAGAGUAUUGGAUCUGAGACCUACAAUAAAAUACUUCAGCAACUGUACUUUGGUUGAUGCAGUUUCUCCUAAUAAACAAGACAGCUAAAAACUUGGAGAGUUAGUUCCAUGCUCACUUUGGUUACUGACUGGCAAUGCACCCACAAGUCUUCGUUCUCUAUGAGAAUACGGCAAGCUUCUCUACUCUGCUCCCCCAAAGCUAUUUUCUCAAAAACAUGAAUAAGAUUCUUCUCACCUAGCUAUAAAUGCUCUCUGCUCUGGGAAAGUCACCCUCAGUGACCUUUCUAACAAAUGGAGGGAAAAAGAUGCUAGAUUCUGCUGCC
Molecule: long non-coding RNA, 642 nt
Filed under: Struthio camelus australis
Lineage: Eukaryota; Metazoa; Chordata; Aves; Struthioniformes; Struthionidae
Description: lncRNA (ENSSCUG00000015269.1)
Source: RNAcentral